Molecule: transfer RNA, 70 nt
Filed under: Novacerus sp. FZ-2019
Lineage: Eukaryota; Metazoa; Arthropoda; Collembola; Entomobryomorpha; Tomoceridae
Description: tRNA-Leu
Source: RNAcentral
AUUAACUUGGCAGAAAUUUAGUGCUAUAGAUUUAGAAUCUUCAAAUAUAAUGUAAAAGUUUUAGUUAAUA